CUCUAUCCGGAUUAAAAGGGAAUCGGGUGUAAAUCCCGGACAGUCCCGCUGCUGUGAAGCUCCGUCUGAAUUUCCGAUAACAACUGUUGCCACUGGGAUACCUUUUUGUAAAUAGAUAAGGAGUCACCGGGAAGGCGUCGGAAACAAGGAGUCAGUCAGAAGACCUGCCGCUUAUCAA
RNAcentral lists this non-coding RNA (178 nucleotides) under Bacteroides fragilis. Lineage: Bacteria; Pseudomonadati; Bacteroidota; Bacteroidia; Bacteroidales; Bacteroidaceae. The record is from RNAcentral.